RNAcentral lists this ribosomal RNA (498 nucleotides) under uncultured Sphingobacteriales bacterium. Its description in RNAcentral is "bacterial SSU rRNA". It matches the Rfam family "Bacterial small subunit ribosomal RNA", at positions 882 to 1382 of the family's 1533-position model. The record is from RNAcentral. Lineage: Bacteria; Pseudomonadati; Bacteroidota; Sphingobacteriia; Sphingobacteriales.
ACGCCCGCUCAAGUAAACGUAAAGGUAAUGGACGGGGCCCGCACAAGCGGAGGAGCAUGUGGUUUAAUUCGAUGAUACGCGAGGAACCUUACCUGGGCUCGAACGUAAGAUGACUGUAGGUGAAAGCUUACAUCUCUUCGGAGCAUUUUACGAGGUGCUGCAUGGUUGUCGUCAGCUCGUGCCGUGAGGUGUCGGGUUAAGUCCCAUAACGAGCGCAACCCUACCUUUAGUUGCCAUCAGGUAAUGCUGGGGACUCUAAAGGAACUGCCUACGCAAGUAGUGAGGAAGGCGGGGAUGACGUCAAAUCAGCACGGCCCUUACGUCCAGGGCUACACACGUGCUACAAUGGCCGAUACAGAGAGCAGCUACCUGGUGACAGGAUGCAAAUCUCCAAAGUCGGUCUCAGUUCGGAUCGGGGUCUGCAACCCGACUCCGUGAAGUUGGAUUCGCUAGUAAUCACGCAUCAGCCAUGGCGCGGUGAAUACGUUCCCGGGCCUU